CGCGUAGGCGGUUUGUUUAGUUAGGCGUGAAAUUCCUGGGCUUAACCUGGGACUGCGCGUUAAUACAGGCAGACUUGAGGUUCGGAAGAGGGUCGUGGAAUUCCCAGUGUAGAGGUGAAAUUCGUAGAUAUUGGGAAGAACACCGGUGGCGAAGGCGGCGACCUGGUCCGAUACUGACGCUGAGGCGCGAAAGCGUGGGGAGCAAACA
Molecule: ribosomal RNA, 208 nt
Filed under: uncultured bacterium
Lineage: Bacteria
Description: partial 16S ribosomal RNA
Rfam family: Bacterial small subunit ribosomal RNA
Source: RNAcentral